Cicer arietinum (chickpea) is the source of this 716-nucleotide non-coding RNA. The record is from RefSeq and is a predicted model, not a curated record. Lineage: Eukaryota; Viridiplantae; Streptophyta; Magnoliopsida; Fabales; Fabaceae.
GGCUCAAUUUUUUCAACUUACCUACAUCGUGAAACAACACACUUUUGUUCUCAUUAUUUUAACAAUGAAACGUUGUCACCAGUUAACGGAAGAAACAAAACUUAUAGUGUUAUAUGUGACCCACAUGCUUUAUCAGUUUUUUGCUUGUCUGGUCAUCAUGCUUGUAAGGAUUUUCUGAUUUUCUAGCCAAGUGACAAAGUAUUUAACAAACAUUCAUCCCUCCCAUUCUCAGAAAACUCAUGCAAAAAAAAACAAAAUUGCAAUAAAAUGGCAAAAAUGAGGAAAACAAAUGAAUUGAUGACAGUGAAAAGAGAGAACUAACCUUGAAAGAUGAGAAGGAGGAUAACUUUGGAGAGGGGACUGUUGUGAAAAAACAAAGAGGAUAUUCUUUUAUUUCUCUUGCGGUUUUAGAAAUUGAGAUGAAAGGAAACAUUGUUUUUAUAUUUGUAUUCGUUGUGGUGGAAGUUAUUUUGGGGUUUAGCAUUUUCCUUCCUUCUUUGUUAGAAAGCAAAAGAAAAAGGGCUUUGCAGACUUGUGUGGAAUUGGAUUUGAAAGCGCCAAUUUCUCACCGCCCAAUUCCAAGUGGUGUCGUUAUGUAUUGUCUUCCUCCUUCACACUCACUCUUCUUCACAAUGAAUAAUCAGAGGUCCAUGUCUCUCCUUUAGUUUAUAGGUGAUGAAGGACUCGUUCCCUCUCCACAAGAGGAACAAAAAAGG